RNAcentral lists this small RNA (592 nucleotides) under Pongo abelii (Sumatran orangutan). Its description in RNAcentral is "processed transcript". The record is from RNAcentral. Lineage: Eukaryota; Metazoa; Chordata; Mammalia; Primates; Hominidae.
GUUGAAGGAAUACUUCCAGCAGAUGUACAUUGAAGAUGUCAGUUUCUACAUGUGGGAAGUAGACAUUGAAGGCUUUAUGGUUUACAGACAAGAUCUUUAGAAGUUAAGCACUAAAGAUAAUGAAUCAAGCCAAAAUGGUGAGAUAUGUAAGUCAAAGAGGAAAAAGUGGAUGAAUGGAGGAUGGAUAGAUGAAUAAUAAAUAGGACCAAGGAAAUAAAUACCAGAAAUCAAGAAGAGCACAGACCAUUUUCCUUCAUCAAUCCAUAGAACCCUAAUGCUUCUUUAGUUCCAUCAAACACAGAGGAAUGACCACCAUGGCAGAUGGCAACAGAGGAUGUCAACAAUUUUUUGGAGAGAGAAGAGGUACUCCCUUAUAGGGACUCGUAAAGACAUAGAGCAUCUGGAAAUCAACUGCCUCCAUUACGCUGCUGAGUCACACACAACGCUUGUUAUGUUUUCAUCACUUCUCUCCAGAAGGCUACAUUAUUGGAAUUUUGAAGUCAUGAAAACAUCAGAUGAACCAACCUGCAACACCUUGGAUUCAGAUUGGAAGAUAAAGAGAAAGUUUAAAGAAUGUGGCCUAUAAAGGCGG